Molecule: ribosomal RNA, 443 nt
Filed under: uncultured bacterium
Lineage: Bacteria
Description: partial 16S ribosomal RNA
Rfam family: Bacterial small subunit ribosomal RNA
Source: RNAcentral
CCUACGGGAGGCAGCAGUGGGGAAUAUUGGGCAAUGGAGGCAACUCUGACCCAGCAACGCCGCGUGAAUGAUGAAGGUCUUCGGAUUGUAAAGUUCUGUGAUGGGGGAUGAACACAAUGACGGUACCCCAAUAGCAAGCCACGGCUAACUACGGGCCAGCAGCCGCGGUAAUACGUAGGUGGCAAGCGUUAUCCGGAAUGACUGGGCGUAAAGGGUGCGUAGGUGGUUUAGUAAGUUGGCGGUGGAAUUCCGGGGCUCAACCUCGGCGCUACCGCCAAAACUAUUAGACUAGAGUGCAGGGGGGGUAAGUGGAAUUCCUAGUGUAGCGGUGGAAUGCGUAGAUAUUAGGAGGAACACCAGGGGCGAAGGCGACUUACUGGACUGUAACUGACACUGAGGCACGAAAGCGUGGGGAGCAAACAGGAUUAGAUACCCCAGUAGUC